UUAUUUCUCUCUCCCCCUCUGUUCUCACCCACGUCUUCUCCUCAUUCCCUUUUUAUCUCUCUCUCUCUUUCUCUCUCUCUUCUUCUUCCAUACCCUCCCUCUUCGCUCGCUCCCCACCCUGCUCUCUAGUGUCAGCUCGCAAGGUAAAUACAUCAAAGCCAGUUAAUUGUGGAAAAAAAAUGCAGUGUUUGGACAAAAUAAGUUGCAGUUUAUUCAUGCCAAAAGAAAUAGGUUGUAGUUUACAGCAAUUUUUGGUACACACUUACCUUUUUUCUCUCUUUCAUUUGCAAUUUUUUUUUUUGGGUUCAGCAACAAAGAAAUUUGGUUAAUAAAUUGAAAGAUAAUAUUGAAGAGAAGGUGGAGGUCAAGAAGUCAUUUUUAACAGUUUUUGCUAUUUUUUUAAGUUCAUUUCCAUGUCCUGUUACUGUUGCCACUUAAUAGUUUAUUUAUUAUUAGGUCAGUUGGUCUUCUCUCUCUAUUAAUGCAUGGGCUACAUUCUACUGUUUGUGAAUGCAUAGGACACAUUCCAAGCUCAUCAUUGGUUAGUUGUAUACAUAUGUGUCAAAACCCUUUAAUAGUAAUUCUGCUAACUGUGUCUCUGUAUCUAAUUUUUUUGGCUUGCUAAUCAAACAUGCACACACUUACCUUUUCUCUCUCUUUCAUUUGCAACAAUUUUUUUUUUGGGUUCGGCAACAAAGAAAUUUGGUUAAUAAGUUAAAAGAGAAUAUUCAAGAGAAGAUGGAGGUCAAGAAGUCAUUUUCAACUGUUUUUGGUAUUUUUUAAAGUUCAUUUCCAUGUUCUGUUACUGUUGCCACUUAAUAGUUUAUUUAUUAUUAGGUCAGCUGGUCUUCUCUCUCUAUUAAUGCAUGGUGCUGCACCAUGUUUUGCUAUGAAGAAAUCUGCAACUGACUAAUCAUCCUCUAAUUUACAGCAAUUUUAGUAUAAUACAAAAGAAUUAGUUUCAACCAAACUAAUAAAUAGUUCCAAAUUAAUAAAUGUAAAUCUUCAUCCACUUUUCAUGAGAUAACAUACAAGAUAACAAAAUUUCAAGAAUUUGCUAAGUAAUUAAAGCACACAAAAAAAGGAACUCAUAUCCUAUCGCGCUUCCAUUAUAGAAAUGGUCAAAUUAUUUAGUGAACAAUCUUUUGACAUGCCCUCAUUUGAAGUGUAGUAUGAUUGCACUUUCAAGUUGCAACAUCUACUUGCAGUGUAGUAUGGUUGUGGUGAUAGUAACAUAUCAUUUGGUAAUAUCGGUACCCAAUUUCUUUCUCACUGUAAUAGUAUUGUUCAGUAAAAUUUCUUUGCAAUCUGUGUGCUAAGUUUGAAGAAGCCCAUGGAGAGUUCUAAAACCAAUCUAUUUGCAUAGGUAGUUUUUAGGAAUUGGCUGUUCUUUAUCAUUUGUCUAAUGCUAGCUAUUGCACCAAUGAUCUCUUACUUGCUUUGUAUCUUCAAGUGAUUAACAAUUUUAAUUGUGUUUUUACUAUUGCAUUUACUUAAUUUUGAUGUUCUUUAUUUUUGAUAUCAUUCAUUUUGCAAAUAUUAGGCAUGCUUUUAUUAUUUAUGUUAAAACCCAAACUUCUAUUGUUCUUUCAAGUUUAAUGCCCUACAACUUAGUAGGAUUAUAUUACCUGUUUAUUGUUCUUUCAAGUUUAACGCCCUACAACUUAGUAAGAUUAUAUUACUUGUUUAUUGUUCUUUUAAGUUUAACGCAUUUUUUUUCCAUUGUUGAUUAUGAAAACUUAUAGGGCACUAAUUAUGUCCUUUUUCCACAUGUACUGAAUCAAAUAAGUUUUUACUUCUCCUUCUGUUAGCACAUAUGGGCUCCAACCAAUUGAAGUUUCUUCCUAAUAUUUAAGAAAGGAAAGGUGAACAAUAGUUGUUUUGUCUGACCUCCCAUUUGAUUAUUUAAGCUUUAUAUAUAUAAUCCAACCCCCAGUUGCUAAAUUGGAAGAAACAGUAUGAAUUAGGCUUGAUGAUUAUAUUCUAUGCUGUUUGAUUGUUGCAUUGAAGUGCAUGACUGGUUUGAGUUUUAUCUUGCAGUAUAAUUUUGAAACUCGAAAAACAUUUUUUGCUUCUUUUGCUAGGUGCUCUCUGCAGGUACUGUUUCAGACCCAUUGUUUAUUAUAUAGAUUUAUGUUAGAUCUGUAACUCUUUUCCAAAAAGUUUGCCUUAUUGUACUGAGUGCUUAAUACAUGCACUAUUUUUUUUUUCCCCAUUAUUUAUAGAUCGGCAUUAUGGAUUAAUGAAGAAAUUAAAUUGUUGUAAACCAAGGUAGUGCCACUGAAUUUUAGUAAUUCAGUAAAGGGGAAAUUGCACCAAUAAUAGCUAUUCAUCAUUAUUUACAUCGUGCCUUUAGUUAUAGGCAUACGCUAGUAUAUAUAUAACUUAAAAAAUGUAACAAAUCUAUCUAUACUAUUAGAAGGAAUAAAUUAGUUUAGUGAAACCUUAUUCUCCUUGUGUUAUGUGGCAACUUUAUAUAUGCUAAAAUAAAAUAUAAAAAAAUUAUUAUACACAGCGUAAACAAGUUUUGAAUCCAAGAUUUGGGUUCCAUUAAGAACAUACUUAUCACUUAAGCAACAUAUAUAUAUAUAUAUUAUGAUAUUAAAUUCUUUAUUAUUUAUUUUUAUUAUUAGUCAUCUAAAUUGCACAUGUAUUGUGUGCGCUGUCUGCUAGUUCUAUGUAGAAGCCCAAAUUAGUAUUGACACUUUUUAUUUUCAAAUUAUUGAUCUGUAAUUAAAAAUUGAAUAAUAAGUUUUAUUUAUUUAUUUUAUUUUAUUAAAAACUAUCUACUCAAUCUAUAAUGAUCAAUUUUAUUUUCUGAAAAAUGUAUGAGAUCGUCAAAAAACUUUUAGUACAAUUUUAUUCACAAUGAUAUGUCAAGAUAGGUGUUAACUUUUGAUUUGUUAUACACCUAAUGCUUGAGACCCUAUUCACUUGCUAUAUCAUUGUAGAUGAAUUUGUGGGUCAAAUGUAGGGCUAGGCAUAAGGUUAUCCGAACCGCCCAAUCCGCCUAACCUGAAUCAAUCUGCAUACAAAUGGACGAUUUCACAGGCACAAUGCGAGCGAAUGUGGUUUGGAAUAUGGCAUGAUUGCGGGUUGCGAAUUUAACUUGCACUCGCAAGAAUUCCCUCGCACUUAGACUUUAAUUGUAUUGUUGGUAUUUUUGGAUGAAUGUAAAAGUUAAUGAAGAAUUACUUUUAAAUAAGUUUAGAAUUUUGAUUGAUUUUACUUUAAUUGUAUUGUUGGGUAGUAGAUACUAAAUGAGAUUGGUGAUCUAGUUUAGAAUUUUGAAA
Molecule: non-coding RNA, 3293 nt
Organism: Camellia sinensis
Lineage: Eukaryota; Viridiplantae; Streptophyta; Magnoliopsida; Ericales; Theaceae
Source: RefSeq, a predicted model, not a curated record